This 439-nucleotide ribosomal RNA is filed under the name Gracixalus jinxiuensis (Jinxiu bubble-nest frog). RNAcentral's name for it is "partial 16S rRNA". It matches the Rfam family "Bacterial large subunit ribosomal RNA", at positions 1968 to 2574 of the family's 2925-position model. Lineage: Eukaryota; Metazoa; Chordata; Amphibia; Anura; Rhacophoridae. The record is from RNAcentral.
CUUGUUCUUUAAAUAGGGACUAGUAUCAACGGCAUCACGAGGGUCGCACUGUCUCCUCCCUCCAAUCAGUGAAACUGAUCUCCCCGUGAAAAAGCGGGGAUAAAGAUAUAAGACGAGAAGACCCCAUGGAGCUUUAAACCCAACAGCAACUCAGUAACAUAGUUCCUCAUAACCCACAGAGAAAUGCACAUCGGUUUUAGGUUGGGGUGACCGCGGAGUAAAAAUUAUCCUCCACGACGAAAAGAACUAAAUCUUUAUCUAAGAAUUACUAUUCUAAGAAUUAGUAUACUAACGAACAAUGACCCAAUAAUUGAUCAACGAAACAAGUUACCCUGGGGAUAACAGCGCAAUCUACUUCAAGAGCCCAUAUCGACAAGUAGGCUUACGACCUCGAUGUUGGAUCAGGGUAUCCCAGUGGUGCAGCCGCUACUGAAGGUUC